This is a long non-coding RNA of Nomia melanderi (Alkali bee), 811 nucleotides long. RefSeq lists it as uncharacterized. The record is from RefSeq and is a predicted model, not a curated record. Lineage: Eukaryota; Metazoa; Arthropoda; Insecta; Hymenoptera; Halictidae.
GACCAUCGCAAAGCGGCUCGGUUUCAUUCUGUCUCUACCGAGUUCGUCUCAAUGCUGUUAGGCCUCCGCGCCGAAUGUACCCAGCUAAAUGUUCCAUAAAAUCUCGUUAAAACCGACGGGAAGACAGCCGGACAAGGAGAACAAAACUUUGUUGGUGACUCCCGAGUAUACUGUUGGGAGAUGACUCGAUGUCUAGGUGUCUAAAGGGAUCUUUCGCUGAGUCCUCGGGGUUCCGAAGUCUUAGAGGAUGAUGAGAAUACGAUUGUUAAGAAGCGAGCAAUGAGCACGCACCUUGAAAACAGCGUUCGCUGGAUGAUAGAUAUCACCUGAACCAGAAAGUCCUCCUCUGAGCAACCGCGAGAGAAGAUUAUAGCGGCCAUGUGUGGACCAUGUGUCCCCCGGAGGUUGGAACAGGAUGGGAUUCCUACGAAUAAAUGACAUUCACGUUAUUUCAAACACUCACGAGCGUGUGGAACUACACCGCAGGCCUCAAGAUUCUCGAAAGGGUAGCACAAACGUACUGUACGCCGCAAACUACACUCGAAUUGUCGUCCAUACCCCUUCCUCGUUUCAUCGGUGCUCCGUUUUCACUGCCUGUCAGAAGGUUUCUUCGUUUCUGCUUAUCUAUAUUUUUCGAUGGCUGUAUGCACAUCGUUCGUAGCCAAUAGUUGUCACGAAAAUGAAUAGCGCAAGAAGACAAUGACAAGGAAUGUCUUCUUGGUGUUCCUCAGUACAACUAUUGAAUAAGAAGGAUCGCUUGUUCUAUAAAUGUACAUUUAUCUUUUAUCAAGUACGCUCUUUGUCCUUUUGU